Molecule: ribosomal RNA, 803 nt
Filed under: uncultured soil archaeon
Lineage: Archaea
Description: bacterial SSU rRNA
Rfam family: Archaeal small subunit ribosomal RNA
Source: RNAcentral
CUCGGCGCACAGCUCAGUAACACGUGGCUAACCUGCCCUUGGGACAGAAACAUCCCCGGGAAACUGGGGCUAAUUUCCGAUAGGUGAAGACUCCUGGAAUGGAUUUUCGCCGAAAGGGCGCUUAGGGCAUGCUUCUAGGCGUUGCCCAAGGAUGGGGCCGCGGCCGAUCAGGUUGUUGGUGAGGUAAUGGCUCACCAAGCCUUUAACCGGUACGGGCCGUGGGAGCGGUAGCCCGGAGAUGGGCACUGAGACAAGGGCCCAGGCCCUACGGGGCGCAGCAGUCGCGAAAACUUCGCAAUAAGCGAAAGCUUGACGGGGCCAUCCCGAGUGCCAUCUGCUGAGGAUGGCUUUUACCCAGUAUAGAUAGCUGGGGGAAUAAGGAGAGGGCAAGUCUGGUGUCAGCCGCCGCGGUAAUACCAGCUCUCCGAGUUGUAGGGAUGUUUAUUGGGCCUAAAGCAUCCGUAGCCGGCUGGACAAGUCCUCUGUUAAAUCCAGCGACCAAUCGUUGGUCUGCGGGGGAUACUGUCCGGCUAGGGGGCGGGAGAGGCCGUCGGUAUUCUUGGGGUAGGGGUGAAAUCCUAUAAUCCCAGGAGGACCACCAGUGGCGAAGGCUGUCGGCUAGAACGCGCCCGACGGUGAGGGAUGAAAGCUGGGGGAGCGAACCGGAUUAGAUACCCGGGUAGUCCCAGCUGUAAACGAUGCAGGCUAGGUGUUAGGGCGGCUACGUGCCGCUCUAGUGCCGCAGGGAAGCUGUUAAGCCUGCCGCCUGGGGAGAACGCCGGCAAGGCUGAACUUAAAGGCCA